AGUGAACGCUGGCGGUAGGCCUAACACAUGCAAGUCGAACGGAAGCACAGUAAGAGCUUGCUCUUACGGGUAGCGGGUGGCGGACGGGUGAGAAAUACAUAAGCAUCUAAUUUUUCGUGGGGGAUAACGGAGGGCAACUGACGCUACUACCGCAUACGUCCUACGGGUGAAAGCAGGGGAUCUUCGGAGCUUUCGCGAUUGAAUGAGCCGAUGUCGGAUUAGCUAGUUGGCGGGGUAAAGGCACACCAAGGCAACGAUACGUAGCUGGUCUGAGAGGAUGAUCGGCCACACUGGAACUGAGACACGGUCCAGACUCCUACGGGAGGCAGCAGUGGGGAAUAUUGCACAAUGGGCGAAAGCCUGAUGCAGCAAUACCGCGUGGGUGAAGAAGGUCUUCGGGUUGUAAAGCUCUUUUGUUGGGAAAGAAAAUCAGCAGGAUAAUCUGCCGAUGUCCUGACGGUACCCAAAGAAUAAGCACCGGCUAACUUCGUG
This 492-nucleotide ribosomal RNA is filed under the name uncultured bacterium. Its description in RNAcentral is "partial 16S ribosomal RNA". It matches the Rfam family "Bacterial small subunit ribosomal RNA", at positions 29 to 507 of the family's 1533-position model. The record is from RNAcentral.